UUGGGCGUGGUGUACGGCACACCCUGGCUUUCUAGUCACGUCUUCCGAAAUACUUGUAGCCAGCGUCCGGGGUUCGACUCCCUGCGCCCGAA
Non-coding RNA from Mycena leptocephala, 92 nucleotides. NCBI's taxonomy places the organism in Eukaryota, Fungi, Basidiomycota, Agaricomycetes, Agaricales, Mycenaceae. The record is from the annotation of a GenBank genome assembly.